Molecule: ribosomal RNA, 462 nt
Filed under: uncultured Planctomyces sp.
Lineage: Bacteria; Pseudomonadati; Planctomycetota; Planctomycetia; Planctomycetales; Planctomycetaceae
Description: bacterial SSU rRNA
Rfam family: Bacterial small subunit ribosomal RNA
Source: RNAcentral
CCUACGGGGGGCUGCAGUCGAGAAUCUUCGGCAAUGGGCGCAAGCCUGACCGAGCGACGCCGCGUGCGGGAUGAAGGUCUUCGGAUUGUAAACCGCUGUCGGAGGGGAUGAAGUGCAUGGGGGUACUCCCUCAUGUUUGACAGAGCCUCGGAGGAAGCACGGGCUAAGUUCGUGCCAGCAGCCGCGGUAAUACGAACUGUGCGAACGUUAUUCGGAAUCACUGGGCUUAAAGGGUGCGUAGGCGGCGGCUCAAGUCAGGUGUGAAAUCCCCCGGCUCAACCGGGGAACAGCGCUUGAAACUGGGUGGCUCGAGUGAGGCAGGGGUGCAUGGAACUUCCGGUGGAGCGGUGAAAUGUGUAGAGAUCGGAAGGAACGCCGGCGGCGAAAGCGGUGCACUGGGCCUUGUCUGACGCUGAGGCACGAAAGCUAGGGGAGUGAACGGGAUUAGAUACCCUAGUAGUC